GACGAACGCUGGCGGCGUGCUUAACACAUGCAAGUCGAACGGAAAGGCCCUGCUUUUGUGGGGUGCUCGAGUGGCGAACGGGUGAGUAACACGUGAGUAACCUGCCCUUGACUUUGGGAUAACUUCAGGAAACUGGGGCUAAUACCGGAUAGGAGCUCCUGCUGCAUGGUGGGGGUUGGAAAGUUUCGGCGGUUGGGGAUGGACGCGCGGCUUAUCAGCUUGUUGGUGGGGUAGUGGCUUACCAAGGCUUUGACGGGUAGCCGGCCUGAGAGGGUGACCGGCCACAUUGGGACUGAGAUACGGCCAAGACUCCUACGGGAGGCAGCGGUGGGGAAUAUUGCACAAUGGGCGGAAGCCUGAUGCAGCAACGCCGCGUGCGAGAUGACGGCCUUCGGGUUGUAAACCGCUUUCGCCUGUGACGAAGCGUGAGUGACGGUAAUGGGUAAAGAAGCACCGGCUAACUACGUG
This 468-nucleotide ribosomal RNA is filed under the name uncultured bacterium. RNAcentral's name for it is "partial 16S ribosomal RNA". It matches the Rfam family "Bacterial small subunit ribosomal RNA", at positions 28 to 507 of the family's 1533-position model. The record is from RNAcentral.